GAUUGGACAUGGCAACUCUAGAGGAAGCCAUCAGAUCAGGAUUUCAGAUUUUGGGACUUGCUGCUGAACCCUGGACAACUCACACUUUUAAAAAGAGGCAGAAAGGAUUCUGAAACCAUCCAGAGUUUUCAACAAAGUUUUUUUAUGGAAAUGUCAAGAUAAAAUUAUCUAUUCAGGAUUAACAGGGUAGGUGUGAGUUCUUUCAUACAAAGACAUAUCGUCAGUCUGAGGUAUUAGUAGCAUUACUUUAUAAGUGUACUUUAUAGUCCUCCUAAAUCAAGCAUUAUUCCAUUUGAAUCCAGGGAUCAUAGCAGUUGCUGUAGCAAAGAUUGCCAGACUAAAAAUUAUGGGAAUUUCUAGGGCUGUGAAGGAGGAAGUGUAGCCUUGUGUGACUCCUAGGAGUCUGGGGUGGGAGAAAUCUGGCCUCAAGCUGCUGGGAUGCAGCAAACAACAGUGGGGCCUUCAGCAGAAGGGUUAGAGACCUUCUGCACUGAGCAGAGCAGGAAGAAUGAAUCAUUAAAAAGAACUUUUAAAUCAUGAAGAUAAAACAGAGAUUCCCAGAACGGAUGUGAUUCCCAAAGAAUAUGAUCUACCUAAUGGAGAAAAGAUAUACUUCAGAACAAGUUUUUAUACAUGUACACAAGCAUAUGCUGAACUGAUUAAGCACUGUUCAGUAAGUUUAUUCUUGUUCUCUUUUGUUAUAUGCAUAAAUGGAAAAAAUAUGGCAUCUGAUAAUAAAUCAACAGACAACUGGAAGUGGCCAGACAUCAAAGGUUUUGAAGGCUAAUGAAGUAUUUCCCUGUCCUGGAGAGGGUCUGAUCCUUCCCCUGAAGUGAAUUCCAGAUCCAGUUAUGGAAGCACAACAACUUUUUUGGCUGCAGUGGACCUAAGAGAUAACAACCACAGAUCCAGUCCUGAUGGAAGACAUAAGGCAAAAGUUUGGAGUCUGUUCUGCUCUCAUUCACCCUAAAUAUAUAAUUAUCACCAUUCAGAGCUCCUUGUGGAUUUGGAAUGACACAAGUAAAGUAUCACAACUGCCAGAACAAGUUGGACCUUCAGAGAAGACAACUUAUUGGCCCCAAUGGGUUGUGGUUACUGAGACACUUUGAGGAAAAAAAUACAAAGGAAUAGAUACUUGUGCUGUAAUUGCUAGAGGAGGACAGCUGAGUAAAAUCUUAAUGAAGCUUCAGGGCAUGACUCUUAGGUCAAGACUUGAGUAAGACUCAAGUGGGUCUGCCUUCUAGAGGGAAGAUAAAAAAGAAUAGCUUGUGAAAGAGAAAUCUUAGUGGCCUGCAAGAGCCAUACAAUACUGUAGACCUAUAGAGACAUGCCAUAAACUCACCAGUCCUCCUGGCUCAGGAAUAUCCCAACAGUAUUUUUUCUCUCAAAAGCCAGUAUUGACACACUGCAGCUGG
RNAcentral lists this long non-coding RNA (1415 nucleotides) under Cyanoderma ruficeps (rufous-capped babbler). Its description in RNAcentral is "lncRNA (ENSCRFG00000006571.1)". The record is from RNAcentral. Lineage: Eukaryota; Metazoa; Chordata; Aves; Passeriformes; Timaliidae.